This 254-nucleotide ribosomal RNA is filed under the name uncultured bacterium. RNAcentral's name for it is "partial 16S ribosomal RNA". It matches the Rfam family "Bacterial small subunit ribosomal RNA", at positions 524 to 776 of the family's 1533-position model. The record is from RNAcentral.
CACGUAGGGGGCAAGCGUUGUCCGGAAUCAUUGGGCGUAAAGAGCUCGUAGGCGGCUCGGUAAGUCGGGUGUGAAACCCUCAGGCUCAACCUGGGGACGCCACCCGAUACUGCCGUGGCUAGAGUCCAGUAGGGGAGUGUGGAAUUCCCGGUGUAGCGGUGAAAUGCGCAGAUAUCGGGAGGAACACCAGCGGCGAAGGCGGCACUCUGGGCUGGUACUGACGCUGAGGAGCGAAAGCGUGGGUAGCAAACAGG